UUGAACGCUGGCGGCGAUGCCUUACACAUGCAAGUCGAACGGCAGCACGGGAGCAAUCCUGGUGGCGAGUGGGCGAACGGGUGAGUAAUAUAUCGGAACGUGCCCGGUCGUGGGGGAUAACGUAGCGAAAGCUACGCUAAUACGCAUACGAUCUACGGAUGAAAGCGGGGGAUCGCAAGACCUCGCGCGAUUGGAGCGGCCGAUAUCAGAUUAGGUAGUUGGUGAGGUAAAGGCUCACCAAGCCGACGAUCUGUAGCUGGUCUGAGAGGACGACCAGCCACACUGGGACUGAGACACGGCCCAGACUCCUACGGGAGGCAGCAGUGGGGAAUUUUGGACAAUGGGCGCAAGCCUGAUCCAGCAAUGCCGCGUGCAGGAUGAAGGCCUUCGGGUUGUAAACUGCUUUGUACGGAACGAAACGGUGAGCUCUAAUACAGUUUGCUAAUGACGGUACCGUAAGAAUAAGCACCGGCUAACUACGUG
This 483-nucleotide ribosomal RNA is filed under the name uncultured bacterium. RNAcentral's name for it is "bacterial SSU rRNA". It matches the Rfam family "Bacterial small subunit ribosomal RNA", at positions 30 to 507 of the family's 1533-position model. The record is from RNAcentral.